This 307-nucleotide long non-coding RNA is filed under the name Rattus norvegicus (Norway rat). RNAcentral's name for it is "long non-coding RNA NONRATT014422". Lineage: Eukaryota; Metazoa; Chordata; Mammalia; Rodentia; Muridae. The record is from RNAcentral.
CCCGGAAGUUGAUUGUGUGCUGACCUUCAGUGAGCCAGUGAGCCCUGUGCCAGCAAAGAAAGGAUCCCUGGCCCUUGUUGGAGCCUCAGUUUUUUUCACCUGCUGAAUGGACACAGAUCUGUCCAACUCACUAGUUGAUUUCAAGGAUGAGACGAACCUGUCCCAUAGCCAAGAAAACUGAGGCCAAAGAUGUCUGAAGUCAGAGCCAUUUAUCUUCCAUCCCCCGCAGGGGUGUCCACUGUGCCUGCCCCGGUCAUAAUGGCUUUCUGCUAAGGAUGUCACCACACCUUCUUGAUGGAGACUUGCC